GACGAACGCUGGCGGCGUGCUUAACACAUGCAAGUCGAACGGAAAGGCCCUGCUUUUGUGGGGUGCUCGAGUGGCGAACGGGUGAGUAACACGUGAGUAACCUGCCCUUGACUUUGGGAUAACUUCAGGAAACUGGGGCUAAUACCGGAUAGGAGCUCCUGCUGCAUGGUGGGGGUUGGAAAGUUUCGGCGGUUGGGGAUGGACUCGCGGCUUAUCAGCUUGUUGGUGGGGUAGUGGCUUACCAAGGCUUUGACGGGUAGCCGGCCUGGGAGGGUGACCGGCCACAUUGGGACUGAGGUACGGCCCAGACUCCUACGGUAGGCAGCAGUGGGGAAUAUUGCACAAUGGGCGGAAGCCUGAUGCGGCAACGCCGCGUGCGGGAUGACGGCCUUCGGGUUGUAAACCGCUUUCGCCUGUGACGAAGCGGGAGUGACGGUAAUGGGUAAAGAAGCACCGGCUAACUACGUG
This 468-nucleotide ribosomal RNA is filed under the name uncultured bacterium. RNAcentral describes it as "partial 16S ribosomal RNA". It matches the Rfam family "Bacterial small subunit ribosomal RNA", at positions 28 to 507 of the family's 1533-position model. The record is from RNAcentral.